RNAcentral lists this ribosomal RNA (496 nucleotides) under uncultured bacterium. Its description in RNAcentral is "partial 16S ribosomal RNA". It matches the Rfam family "Bacterial small subunit ribosomal RNA", at positions 28 to 506 of the family's 1533-position model. The record is from RNAcentral.
GAUGAACGCUGGCGGCGUGCCUAAUACAUGCAAGUCGAGCGAACAGAUGAGGAUCUUGCUCCUCUGACGUUAGCGGCGGACGGGUGUGUAACACGUGUAUAACCUACCUAUAAUUCUGGGAUAACUUCGGGACACCGGAGCUAAUACCGGAUAAUAUAUUGAACCGCAUGGUUCAAUAGUGAAAUACGGUUUUGCUGUCACUUAUAGAUGGAUCCGCGCCGCAUUAUCUAGUUGGUAAGGUAACGGCUUACCAAGGCAACGAUGCGUAGCCGACCUGAGAGGGUGAUCGGCCACACAGGAACUGAGACACGAUACAGACUCCUACGGGAGGCAGCAGUAGGGAAUCUUCCGCAAAGGGCGAAAGCCUGACGGAGCAACGCAGCGUGAGUGAUGAAGGUCUGCGGAUCGUAAAACUCUGUUAUUAGGGAAGAACAAAUGUGUAAGUAACGAUGCACGUCUUGACGGUACCUAAACAGAAAGCCCCGGCUAACUACAU